Non-coding RNA from Acanthosepion pharaonis, 101 nucleotides. Lineage: Eukaryota; Metazoa; Mollusca; Cephalopoda; Sepiida; Sepiidae. The record is from the annotation of a GenBank genome assembly.
CGUUGAAGCAGCGGUUCCCGUACGAUCACGGAAGUUAAGCAACGUUGAGCCUAGUCACUAACUAGAUAGGUGACCGCUUGAUAAUACCAAGUGCUGUAAGC